GCCUCGUUAGCUCAGUUGGCUUAGAGCGUUCGGCUUUUAACCGAAAUGUCGGGGGUUCGACCCCCCCACGAGGCG
Molecule: transfer RNA, 75 nt
Filed under: Coemansia sp. RSA 2424
Lineage: Eukaryota; Fungi; Kickxellomycota; Kickxellomycetes; Kickxellales; Kickxellaceae
Also listed under: 4 other names
Description: tRNA-Lys
Rfam family: tRNA
About the family: Transfer RNA (tRNA) molecules are approximately 80 nucleotides in length. Their secondary structure includes four short double-helical elements and three loops (D, anti-codon, and T loops).
Source: RNAcentral